GGAGGCUAAAGCAAAGGGCGCACGGUCCCUGGCUAGAAGCAGAUCGGACGGGGAGAUCUGAAUGUCUGAUCCCGAUCUAGCACUGCUCAUCUGCAGAAUUAUACUGGAGUACCGAGUACAAGGUACAAGGACGGAACAUGUCAGCUUGCUGACUGGAAAGUGGCUCGUUUGAUGACGUGAGAAGGAUUCAGGCGACGACUUUGGCAUAAGCUACGAGAAGUUGAGGACUUGCAUAUGGUACAGAGAAUGCAUUUUGCCCUUUCGCCUUUUUUUUUUGCAGGGAGAUUUAGCUGCUCUUUUUAAUGUAAAAUGGUUGUUUGCGAUUUCUUACUGGUGGUCUGGUGCAUAAACC
RNAcentral lists this long non-coding RNA (352 nucleotides) under Setaria viridis. RNAcentral describes it as "long non-coding RNA (SVIR_LNC000904)". Lineage: Eukaryota; Viridiplantae; Streptophyta; Magnoliopsida; Poales; Poaceae. The record is from RNAcentral.